GAUCCUGGCUCAUGAUGAACGCUACCUACAGGCUGAACACAUGCAAGUCGAGGGGAAACGACAUCGAAAGCUUGCUUUUGAUGGGCGUCGACCGGCGCACGGGUGAGUAACGCGUAUCCAACCUGCCCACCACUUGGGGAUAACCUUGCGAAAGUAAGACUAAUACCCAAUGAUAUCUCUAGAAGACAUCUGAAGGAGAUUAAAGAUUUAUCGGUGAUGGAUGGGGAUGCGUCUGAUUAGCCUGUUGGCGGGGUAACGGCCCACCAAGGCGACGAUCAGUAGGGGUUCUGAGAGGAAGGUCCCCCACAUUGGAACUGAGACACGGUCCAAACUCCUACGGGAGGCAGCAGUGAGGAAUAUUGGUCAAUGGACGAGAGUCUGAACCAGCCAAGUAGCGUGCAGGAAGACGGCCCUAUGGGUUGUAAACUGCUUUUAUAAGGGAAUAAAGUGAGUCUCGUGAGACUUUUUGCAUGUACCUUAUGAAUAAGGACCGGCUAAUUCCGUGCCAGCAGCCGCGGUAAUACGGAAGGUCCGGGCGUUAUCCGGAUUUAUUGGGUUUAAAGGGAGCGUAGGCCGGAGAUUAAGCGUGUUGUGAAAUGUAGACGCUCAACGUCUGCACUGCAGCGCGAACUGGUUUCCUUGAGUACGCACAAAGUGGGCGGAAUUCGUGGUGUAGCGGUGAAAUGCUUAGAUAUCACGAAGAACUCCGAUUGCGAAGGCAGCUCACUGGAGCGCAACUGACGCUGAAGCUCGAAAGUGCGGGUAUCGAACAGGAUUAGAUACCCUGGUAGUCCGCACGGUAAACGAUGGAUGCCCGCUGUUGGUCUGAAUAGGUCAGCGGCCAAGCGAAAGCAUUAAGCCUCCCACAUGGGGAGCCCGCCUGCAACGGU
RNAcentral lists this ribosomal RNA (890 nucleotides) under uncultured bacterium. RNAcentral's name for it is "bacterial SSU rRNA". It matches the Rfam family "Bacterial small subunit ribosomal RNA", at positions 15 to 895 of the family's 1533-position model. The record is from RNAcentral.